AGACAUGUAAAGAACAGUAUUGUCCCAAGUAUUCGAAGUGUUGUGUUCAGCCCAAAAUUGUCCAGCAACAUUAUGACUAGGUAUGUCAAGGCAACCUGCGCCAAUCCUGCUCCACCAGUCAAAAUGCCUAAAAGGGACUUCGACUUUUUCCAUAUACCUAAGUGGCGUCAGAAGCAGACAUGUUAAUAUUGGAGGUAUCCCUGACAGCAGGAAGAACGCUCUGUAGUCUUGAGUCUUGUCAACUAUAAAACCUGAAAAAAGCCAGAAGGAACCAAAUAACAUCAAGGGACUUCGACUUUUUCCAUAUACCUAAGUGGCGUCAGAAGCAGACAUGUUAAUAUUGGAGGUAUCCCUGACAGCAGAAAGAACGCUCUGUAGUCUUGAGUCUUGUCAACUAUAAAGCCUGAAAGAAGCCAGAAGGAACCAAAUAACAUCAAGGCUCAUCUUUAUCUACUUCAUAUGAAGUUGGGCAAAAUGUCAAGCCACCAGCCAGACAGAUAACAAGAAAUACAGCUGAUAGUAUUUGGAAUGUUCGUUCAAAUCUAACUUCUUUUAGUAGCAAAACGAGAAGGC
Molecule: non-coding RNA, 573 nt
Organism: Rhopilema esculentum
Lineage: Eukaryota; Metazoa; Cnidaria; Scyphozoa; Rhizostomeae; Rhizostomatidae
Source: RefSeq, a predicted model, not a curated record